RNAcentral lists this ribosomal RNA (274 nucleotides) under uncultured bacterium. RNAcentral describes it as "partial 16S ribosomal RNA". It matches the Rfam family "Bacterial small subunit ribosomal RNA", at positions 523 to 796 of the family's 1533-position model. The record is from RNAcentral.
AUACGGAGGGUGCAAGCGUUGUUCGGAAUUACUGGGCGUAAAGCGCGUGUAGGCGGUCAGGCAAGUCGAAUGUGAAAGCCCCGGGCUCAACCCGGGAAUUGCAUCCGAAACUGCUUGGCUAGAGUCCCGGAGAGGAAGGCAGAAUUCCCAGUGUAGGGGUGAAAUCCGUAGAUAUUGGGAGGAAUACCAGUGGCGAAGGCGGCCUUCUGGACGGUGACUGACGCUGAGAUGCGAAAGCGUGGGGAGCAAACAGGAUUAGAAACCCCGGUAGUCC